This is an RNA transcript of Gymnodraco acuticeps, 2436 nucleotides long. It is a transcript of the gene named protein tyrosine phosphatase domain-containing protein 1-like, with no coding region annotated. The transcript is spliced from 12 exons. The record is from RefSeq and is a predicted model, not a curated record. NCBI's taxonomy places the organism in Eukaryota, Metazoa, Chordata, Actinopteri, Perciformes, Bathydraconidae.
GCAUAUACAUGGCUCACAUUGAUGUGUUUUCUUCUGCAGGAUAAUGCAGACCUUGAUACCAGUACCACAGCCCUCCUUAUCCCAGGCCAGGGAGAAUCUGGUGAAUGCUUUCCCCCCCAGGCUCCUCUGUCUGCUGGCCUGCGGAGGAAUAGGUUGCCGCUAUGAAGGACCAGAGUGUUGGAAAUUAAAUCAACAGGUCAUUCGAGGCAUCUUCUCCUCCUGGGUGACAGAUGACAUCAUAGCCAUGGCACGGCCAUCUAGUCAUCUAAUUAAGAAGUACAAAAUCAUAGAACAAUUUCAAAGGUUAAACAUCAGAUCAAUCAUCAACAUGCAGCUCCCUGGAGAACACGCUCACUGUGGACCUCCCAUAGAACCUGACAGCGGUUUCACGUACUCCCCACAGACCUUCAUGGACAAUGACAUUUACUUUUACAACUUUGGGAUGCAAGACUUCAAUGCGUCCUCCCUUGUUGGUUUAAUUGACGGGGUGAAGGUUCUGGCCUUUGCACUGAGGGAAGGAAGAGUGGCCGUGCACUGCCAUGCAGGCCUGGGCAGAUCAGGCGUCCUGAUAGCCUGCUACUUGAUUUACAUCCUGCGCAUCAGCCCAAGUGAGGCCGUUCAUUAUUUGCGGAUCAAACGUCCACACUCCAUCCAAACUCGGGCCCAGCUGAACCAGGUGUUUGACUUUGCUCGCCUGCUUGGCUCACAGCUGGUUCAAUACCCAGACCCUCGCCUGCGGCACGGAGACCCUUUCAGCCUGCAGCUGCACCUGAACAGACAGGCCUUACUGCUGCAUGGCCAGGAGGCACGCACCCUCAAACAAACACCAAAGGUGGUGUACCUCCUGUGUGUGUAUCUCUCCUGCUUAGCCCUGGGUCUCCCUGCCCCUCCAGAGAUCCAGGCUGAGCUGGACAAGAGGUCAGCACUGAGGAGCCUGAGCAGGACCGUGAGGGAGAGCCUGGUGUCGAAACAGUGCUUGCCCUUACUGAGAGAGUGUCACCAGGGGCCAAGAGUGAGUUUAGGAUCGGUGUCCUUCUGGGACGAGCCUCUGGGCUUUUUGACGAGGAAGAGAGAGGUGCUGCAAGACAAACGCAGCUACAGUGACUCUGACCUCAGCAAGAUCGCAGUAAAUCAGGAUCUGGAGUUGAGUCCAUACUGCAACUCAGAAGCUGGAAAUGAAAGACAGGUUUGUGUAAAGGAUCUGACACAACCUGAUCUGAGACCAGCUAGUCCGAUCCUUGCCAGCAUCAAACAAGGCCUCCAGCCAACCAAAAUGGAAUCUCAAGCACUCAACAUGCCAGUAUCUAGCAUGACAUCAAGCAACGACUGUGCUCUGAGGUCAAAGUGCUCAGCUAGAAAGGCACUUCCCAAAUACAGCUCCAACAUUGAGUUAAGCAGAAAUCUACAUAAUCCAGGCCCAGCCUCAGUUGCUGUUGCUAAGGCAUUGGCAGAUCUUUGUCCACCGGAAGAAAACAUCCUGCAAAGAUCAGCUCUGCUGCAGGAGGAACUGAACAGUAGUGACUGUGGCUGGGCUCUGCUGCUCACUGAGUCAGAUCCUCAGGUUCUCAGCUGUCUGCUGUGGACCUGGCUGGAGAGGUUAAAGGAGCCUGUUCUGAGUGCAGAGGAUGUAGACAGGUUGUGUUGUGGUGCCAACAAACGGAAACCUCUCAGUGUGCUCAAGAAGGUAAAGAAACACAUCCACAGAGAGACACCAUCUCCUGCCUCCUGAGCUGUGUGAGCACCGUGACCAGCCUGUGUCCACACAGAGAGGAUGCAGUGCUGCAACGACUGGUGGCAGGCACUUACAAGGUGCCCCCAUGAGGAAACUUCAAGCCUGGCAACGUUAAUGAAGGUCCUGAAGGCGAGUUUAAGAGAAACCUCCCACAGCUACCUCUAAAGAGACAGCAACACCAAUGUUCCACUUUGAAGAGCAGAGUCCUUAUUAUUAUUAUAAAAGUUGUACUCGUACUUUUACACACUUAUACCAUUCUCAGUUGGAUCAAUGACUGAACAUAUGAAAAUUGCUAGUAAAAAACAGAAGUCAUUUUAAGAAGAGCAGAUGCUAGGGUAAAUGCUUUUAGUGUCAUUUUGAUAUACAAUGAUUUUUCUACGGCAAGUGGGGUUUUCCUUGUAUUUUUCUGUAUACGGCGCACAAUCAAAAGGGUUUGCCCCCCCCCUGACUUAACCCAUUGGCCAGUGCUGCAUAUUGUUAUGUAACAAUGGCUAACAUUUAAAUAAAUCCCUUACAUCAGAAUUCAAUGAGUACACUGAUACAAUUUACACUUUACAUUAGGCUAAAUAAUUUGUUCAUGUAUACUUUAAAUAGUGUCAAAGUUACGGUAAUGUAGUACUAGCAGAUUAAAUCCAAACUGUGUGUCCAGAGUCUGAUCUGUGGCCUAUUCACCCUUCCAAGCCUAAUAAAUCAUUGACACCGUC